ACUCCUACGGGAGGCAUCAGUGGGGAAUUUUGGACAAUGGGGGAAACCCUGAUCCAGCAAUGCCGCGUGAGUGAAGAAGGCCUUCGGGUUGUAAAGCUCUUUUGUCAGGGAAGAAACACCGGCUCUAACACAGUCCGGGAAUGACGGUACCUGAAGAAUAAGCACCGGCUAACUACGUGCCAGCAGCCGCGGUAAUAC
Molecule: ribosomal RNA, 198 nt
Filed under: uncultured bacterium
Lineage: Bacteria
Description: partial 16S ribosomal RNA
Rfam family: Bacterial small subunit ribosomal RNA
Source: RNAcentral